This 786-nucleotide ribosomal RNA is filed under the name uncultured bacterium. Its description in RNAcentral is "bacterial SSU rRNA". It matches the Rfam family "Bacterial small subunit ribosomal RNA", at positions 8 to 796 of the family's 1533-position model. The record is from RNAcentral.
AGAGUUUGAUCCUGGCUCAGAGCGAACGCUGGCGGCGUGCUUAACACAUGCAAGUCGAGUGCGCGUCUGUAGCAAUACAGAUGGCGCACGGCGCACGGGUGCGUAACACGUGGGUAAUCUGCCCUUCGAUGGGGAAUAACUCGCCGAAAGGCGAGCUAAUUCCGCAUAACAUUCCUUGAACCUCGGUUUGGGGACUCAAAGCCGUAAGGCGUCGGAGGAGGAACCCGCGCACGAUUAGCUAGUUGGUAGGGUAACGGCCUACCAAGGCUUUGAUCGUUAGCUGGUCUGAGAGGAUGGCCAGCCACACUGGAACUGAGACACGGUCCAGACUCCUACGGGAGGCAGCAGUGGGGAAUCUUGCACAAUGGGCGAAAGCCUGAUGCAGCGACGCCGCGUGGGGGAUGAAGCUUUUCGGAGUGUAAACCCCUUUCGACCCGGACGAAUGCCCCGCAAGGGGACUGACGGUACGGGUAUAAGAAGCCCCGGCUAACUACGUGCCAGCAGCCGCGGUAAGACGUGGGGGGCCAGCGUUGCUCGGAAUUACUGGGUGUAAAGGGUUCGUAGGCGGUGUAGCAAGUCGGGAGUGAAAUCUCUGGGCUCAACCCAGAGACUGCUUCCGAAACUGCUGUGCUUGAGUGUGGGAGAGGCGCGUGGAAUUGCAGGUGUAGCGGUGAAAUGCGUAGAUAUCUGCAGGAACACCCGUGGCGAAAGCGGCGCGCUGGACCACUACUGACGCUGAGGAACGAAAGCUAGGGGAGCAAACAGGAUUAGAUACCCUAGUAGUCC